This 75-nucleotide transfer RNA is filed under the name Candidatus Omnitrophota bacterium. Its description in RNAcentral is "tRNA-Gln". It matches the Rfam family "tRNA". Rfam says of the family: Transfer RNA (tRNA) molecules are approximately 80 nucleotides in length. Their secondary structure includes four short double-helical elements and three loops (D, anti-codon, and T loops). Lineage: Bacteria; Pseudomonadati; Candidatus Omnitrophota. The record is from RNAcentral.
UGCCCGGUAGCCAAGCGGUAAGGCAGCGGCCUUUGGAGCCGCCAUUCGUUGGUUCGAAUCCAGCCCGGGCAGCCA